Molecule: long non-coding RNA, 294 nt
Organism: Lynx canadensis (Canada lynx)
Lineage: Eukaryota; Metazoa; Chordata; Mammalia; Carnivora; Felidae
Exons: 3
Source: RefSeq, a predicted model, not a curated record
GGCGCCGCCAGGAAGGGGCCCAAUGAGGGAUGUUGUGGCGGCGGCGGAGUCUCGGAAGGCACUCGGAGGUUAAGCAACGCGUCUCUCUGAGGUGGUACCGUGUGGGCCCAUCAGCCCACCUCUCGCUUGCGUUCUCUUCUGUGGUGUAUCAGCACUGUUUACGAGGGAUGCGUGAUUUGAGAAUCUCCAUUUGGUCUUUGAGCCUGUCUGUUCUGUGACCCCUGGGAUAGCUUGGCUUGCAGUGUACUUGGAGGCCACCGUUGCAUCAAGAGAGAGACAGAGCAUGAACGGGGG